CUACGGAACUCCUACGGGAGGCAGCAGCCGCGGUAAUACGUAGGGUGCAAGCGUUAAUCGGAAUUACUGGCGUAAAGCGUGCGCAGGCGGUUGUGUAAGUCAGAUGUGAAAUCCCCGGGCUCAACCUGGGAAUUGCAUUUGAGACUGCACGGCUAGAGUGUGUCAGAGGGGGGUAGAAUUCCACGUGUAGCAGUGAAAUGCGUAGAUAUGUGGAGGAAUACCGAUGGCGAAGGCAGCCCCCUGGGAUAACACUGACGCUCAUGCACGAAAGCGUGGGGAGCAAACAGGAUUAGAUACCCGUGUAGUCCUCUUCGA
This 315-nucleotide ribosomal RNA is filed under the name uncultured bacterium. RNAcentral's name for it is "bacterial SSU rRNA". It matches the Rfam family "Bacterial small subunit ribosomal RNA", at positions 491 to 803 of the family's 1533-position model. The record is from RNAcentral.